AAAACAUAGCCCCCUGAAAUUUUAAUAGGGGGUGCAGCCUGCCCAGUGGAAGAUUUUUUCUAAACGGCCGCGGUAUCCUGACCGUGCAAAGGUAGCAUAAUCACUUGUCUCUUAAAUGGGGACCUGUAUGAAUGGCUUCACAUUCUUAAACUGUCUCCCUUUUCUCCCUCAUAAAUUUCUAUUCACGUGAAGAAGCGUGUAAAAACGAGAAAGACGAGAAGACCCUGUCGAGCUUUAGUCCACACCGAAAUGGGUGAGACUCUUAGAGAAACAAAAAAUUUUCGGCUUAGACUUUGGUUGGGGUAACCAUGGAGGAAAACAAACCUCCAGUUUUUUAGGUAGAAAUCCUUUCACCUAAAGACCUUUUUAGAACCAGUAACUCUGGAAAACGGAAAAAGUUACCGCAGGGAUAACAGCGUUAUCUCCUCUAAGAGCUCAUAUUGACGAGGAGGAUUGCGACCUCGAUGUUGGAUUGGGGUAACCCAAGGGUGCAGAAGCUCUUGAAGGUCGGACUGUUCGUCCGUUAAUUCCCUACGUGAUCUGAGUU
This 547-nucleotide ribosomal RNA is filed under the name Thelenota rubralineata. RNAcentral describes it as "partial 16S ribosomal RNA". It matches the Rfam family "Bacterial large subunit ribosomal RNA", at positions 1810 to 2611 of the family's 2925-position model. The record is from RNAcentral. Lineage: Eukaryota; Metazoa; Echinodermata; Holothuroidea; Aspidochirotida; Stichopodidae.